RNAcentral lists this ribosomal RNA (253 nucleotides) under uncultured bacterium. Its description in RNAcentral is "partial 16S ribosomal RNA". It matches the Rfam family "Bacterial small subunit ribosomal RNA", at positions 524 to 776 of the family's 1533-position model. The record is from RNAcentral.
CACGGGGGGAGCAAGCGUUGUUCGGAUUUACUGGGCGUAAAGGGCGCGUAGGCGGCGUGACAAGUCACUUGUGAAAUCUCCGGGCUUAACCCGGAGCGGCCAAGUGAUACUGUCGUGCUAGAGUGCGGAAGGGGCUACUGGAAUUCUCGGUGUAGCGGUGAAAUGCGUAGAUAUCGGGAGGAACACCAGUGGCGAAGGCGACUACCUGGCCUGUUCUUGACGCUGAGGCGCGAAAGCUAGGGGAGCAAACGGG